UUAAGUUAUUAAGGGCGCACGGUGGAUGCCUUGGCACUAGAAGCCGAUGAAGGACGUUACUAACGACGAUAUGCUUUGGGGAGCUGUAAGUAAGCUUUGAUCCAGAGAUUUCCGAAUGGGGAAACCCAGCAUGAGUUAUGUCAUGUUAUCGAUAUGUGAAUACAUAGCAUAUCAGAAGGCACACCCGGAGAACUGAAACAUCUUAGUACCCGGAGGAAGAGAAAGAAAAUUCGAUUCCCUUAGUAGCGGCGAGCGAAACGGGAAGAGCCCAAACCAACAAGCUUGCUUGUUGGGGUUGUAGGACACUCUAUACGGAGUUACAAAGGACGACAUUAGACGAAUCAUCUGGAAAGAUGAAUCAAAGAAGGUAAUAAUCCUGUAGUCGAAAAUGUUGUCUCUCUUGAGUGGAUCCUGAGUACGACGGAGCACGUGAAAUUCCGUCGGAAUCUGGGAGGACCAUCUCCUAAGGCUAAAUACUCUCUAGUGACCGAUAGUGAACCAGUACCGUGAGGGAAAGGUGAAAAGCACCCCGGAAGGGGAGUGAAAUAGAACCUGAAACCGUGUGCUUACAAGUAGUCAGAGCCCGUUAAUGGGUGAUGGCGUGCCUUUUGUAGAAUGAACCGGCGAGUUACGAUUUGAUGCAAGGUUAAGCAGUAAAUGUGGAGCCGUAGCGAAAGCGAGUCUGAAUAGGGCGUUUAGUAUUUGGUCGUAGACCCGAAACCAGGUGAUCUACCCUUGGUCAGGUUGAAGUUCAGGUAACACUGAAUGGAGGACCGAACCGACUUACGUUGAAAAGUGAGCGGAUGAACUGAGGGUAGCGGAGAAAUUCCAAUCGAACCUGGAGAUAGCUGGUUCUCUCCGAAAUAGCUUUAGGGCUAGCCUCAAGUGAUGAUUAUUGGAGGUAGAGCACUGUUUGGACGAGGGGCCCCUCUCGGGUUACCGAAUUCAGACAAACUCCGAAUGCCAAUUAAUUUAACUUGGGAGUCAGAACAUGGGUGAUAAGGUCCGUGUUCGAAAGGGAAACAGCCCAGACCACCAGCUAAGGUCCCAAAAUAUAUGUUAAGUGGAAAAGGAUGUGGCGUUGCCCAGACAACUAGGAUGUUGGCUUAGAAGCAGCCAUCAUUUAAAGAGUGCGUAAUAGCUCACUAGUCGAGUGACACUGCGCCGAAAAUGUACCGGGGCUAAACAUAUUACCGAAGCUGUGGAUUGUCCUUUGGACAAUGGUAGGAGAGCGUUCUAAGGGCGUUGAAGCAUGAUCGUAAGGACAUGUGGAGCGCUUAGAAGUGAGAAUGCCGGUGUGAGUAGCGAAAGACGGGUGAGAAUCCCGUCCACCGAUUGACUAAGGUUUCCAGAGGAAGGCUCGUCCGCUCUGGGUUAGUCGGGUCCUAAGCUGAGGCCGACAGGCGUAGGCGAUGGAUAACAGGUUGAUAUUCCUGUACCACCUAUAAUCGUUUUAAUCGAUGGGGGGACGCAGUAGGAUAGGCGAAGCGUGCGAUUGGAUUGCACGUCUAAGCAGUAAGGCUGAGUAUUAGGCAAAUCCGGUACUCGUUAAGGCUGAGCUGUGAUGGGGAGAAGACAUUGAGUCUUCGAGUCGUUGAUUUCACACUGCCGAGAAAAGCCUCUAGAUAGAAAAUAGGUGCCCGUACCGCAAACCGACACAGGUAGUCAAGAUGAGAAUUCUAAGGUGAGCGAGCGAACUCUCGUUAAGGAACUCGGCAAAAUGACCCCGUAACUUCGGGAGAAGGGGUGCUCUUUAGGGUUAACGCCCAGAAGAGCCGCAGUGAAUAGGCCCAAGCGACUGUUUAUCAAAAACACAGGUCUCUGCUAAACCGUAAGGUGAUGUAUAGGGGCUGACGCCUGCCCGGUGCUGGAAGGUUAAGAGGAGUGGUUAGCUUCUGCGAAGCUACGAAUCGAAGCCCCAGUAAACGGCGGCCGUAACUAUAACGGUCCUAAGGUAGCGAAAUUCCUUGUCGGGUAAGUUCCGACCCGCACGAAAGGCGUAACGAUUUGGGCACUGUCUCAACGAGAGACUCGGUGAAAUCAUAGUACCUGUGAAGAUGCAGGUUACCCGCGACAGGACGGAAAGACCCCGUGGAGCUUUACUGUAGCCUGAUAUUGAAAUUCGGCACAGCUUGUACAGGAUAGGUAGGAGCCUUUGAAACGUGAGCGCUAGCUUACGUGGAGGCGCUGGUGGGAUACUACCCUAGCUGUGUUGGCUUUCUAACCCGCACCACUUAUCGUGGUGGGAGACAGUGUCAGGCGGGCAGUUUGACUGGGGCGGUCGCCUCCUAAAAGGUAACGGAGGCGCUCAAAGGUUCCCUCAGAAUGGUUGGAAAUCAUUCAUAGAGGGUAAAGGCAUAAGGGAGCUUGACUGCGAGACCUACAAGUCGAGCAGGGUCGAAAGACGGACUUAGUGAUCCGGUGGUUCCGCAUGGAAGGGCCAUCGCUCAACGGAUAAAAGCUACCCCGGGGAUAACAGGCUUAUCUCCCCCAAGAGUUCACAUCGACGGGGAGGUUUGGCACCUCGAUGUCGGCUCAUCGCAUCCUGGGGCUGUAGUCGGUCCCAAGGGUUGGGCUGUUCGCCCAUUAAAGCGGUACGCGAGCUGGGUUCAGAACGUCGUGAGACAGUUCGGUCCCUAUCCGUCGUGGGCGUAGGAAAUUUGAGAGGAGCUGUCCUUAGUACGAGAGGACCGGGAUGGACAUACCUCUGGUGUACCAGUUGUCGUGCCAACGGCAUAGCUGGGUAGCUAUGUGUGGACGGGAUAAGUGCUGAAAGCAUCUAAGCAUGAAGCCCCCCUCAAGAUGAGAUUUCCCAACUUCGGUUAUAAGAUCCCUCAAAGAUGAUGAGGUUAAUAGGUUCGAGGUGGAAGCAUGGUGACAUGUGGAGCUGACGAAUACUAAUCGAUCGAAGACUUAAUCAA
This 2921-nucleotide ribosomal RNA is filed under the name Staphylococcus aureus M0292. RNAcentral's name for it is "bacterial LSU rRNA". It matches the Rfam family "Bacterial large subunit ribosomal RNA". Lineage: Bacteria; Bacillati; Bacillota; Bacilli; Caryophanales; Staphylococcaceae. The record is from RNAcentral.